This 486-nucleotide ribosomal RNA is filed under the name uncultured bacterium. Its description in RNAcentral is "partial 16S ribosomal RNA". It matches the Rfam family "Bacterial small subunit ribosomal RNA", at positions 30 to 507 of the family's 1533-position model. The record is from RNAcentral.
AUUGAACGCUGGCGGCAUGCCUUACACAUGCAAGUCGAACGGCAGCACGGGUGCUUGCCCCUGGUGGCGAGUGGCGAACGGGUGAGUAAUACAUCGGAACAUGUCCUGUAGUGGGGGAUAGCCCGGCGAAAGCCGGAUUAAUACCGCAUACGAUCUACGGAUGAAAGCGGGGGACCUUCGGGCCUCGCGCUAUAGGGUUGGCCGAUGGCUGAUUAGCUAGUUGGUGGGGUAAAGGCCUACCAAGGCGACGAUCAGUAGCUGGUAUGAGAGGACGACCAGCCACACUGGGACUGAGACACGGCCCAGACUCCUACGGGAGGCAGCAGUGGGGAAUUUUGGACAAUGGGCGAAAGCCUGAUCCAGCAAUGCCGCGUGUGUGAAGAAGGCCUUCGGGUUGUAAAGCACUUUUGUCCGGAAAGAAAUCCUUGGCCCUAAUACGGUCGGGGGAUGACGGUACCGGAAGAAUAAGCACCGGCUAACUACGUG